CGGAUUGUUGAUCCGUAUGUGCAU
RNAcentral lists this microRNA (24 nucleotides) under Glycine max (soybean). RNAcentral describes it as "gma-miR4380a". Lineage: Eukaryota; Viridiplantae; Streptophyta; Magnoliopsida; Fabales; Fabaceae. The record is from miRBase by way of RNAcentral.